Molecule: ribosomal RNA, 444 nt
Filed under: uncultured bacterium
Lineage: Bacteria
Description: bacterial SSU rRNA
Rfam family: Bacterial small subunit ribosomal RNA
Source: RNAcentral
AUUGAACGCUGGCGGCAUGCCUUACACAUGCAAGUCGAACGGCAGCACGGGAGCUUGCUCCUGGUGGCGAGUGGCGAACGGGUGAGUAAUACAUCGGAACGUACCCUGAAGUGGGGGAUAACGUAGCAAAAGUUACGCUAAUACCGCAUAUUCUGUGAGCAGGAAAGAGGGGGAUCGCAAGACCUCUUGCUUUAGGAGCGGCCGAUGUCGGAUUAGCUAGUUGGUGAGGUAAAGGCUCACCAAGGCGACGAUCCGUAGCGGGUCUGAGAGGAUGAUCCGCCACACUGGGACUGAGACACGGCCCAGACUCCUACGGGAGGCAGCAGUGGGGAAUUUUGGACAAUGGGCGCAAGCCUGAUCCAGCCAUGCCGCGUGAGUGAAGAAGGCCUCGGUUGUAAGCUCUUCGUGGGAGGAAGUUAGCACAGGAGUAAUAACCUUGUGUAG